GUGCGAGACCGAUAGCGAACAAGUACCGUGAGGGAAAGAUGAAAAGAACUUUGAAAAGAGAGUUAAAGAGUACCUGAAACUGCUGAAAGGGAAGCGAAUCGUAUCCAGUGUCUAUAAUCUGCGGCAUAUUUCAUUGGCGGCAGUGUGCGUGCUUUUGCGUCGGAAGCGGCUUUUGUUGCUCUGUGCUUUUGCUGUGCGUGCUGUUGCUGGUGCCCUGUGUUGCGGUGGGACGUCAGAGUCAGUUCGUAUGCUGCGGGAAAUGGCCGCCGAGGAGGUAGGUCAGGACUUCGGUCUUGGCUGUUAUAUCUUGGUGGUUUGUUGUCGUGGUUGGGACUGAGGUGCCUAC
This 346-nucleotide ribosomal RNA is filed under the name uncultured Oomycota. RNAcentral describes it as "eukaryotic LSU rRNA". It matches the Rfam family "Eukaryotic large subunit ribosomal RNA", at positions 326 to 612 of the family's 3401-position model. Lineage: Eukaryota; Oomycota. The record is from RNAcentral.